GCCCGGAUGGUGUAGCUAGGAAUCACUGGAGCUUGCGGAGCUUCGAACCCGGGUUCGAAUCCCGGUCCGGGCGCCA
This 76-nucleotide transfer RNA is filed under the name Methanobacteriota archaeon. RNAcentral describes it as "Euryarchaeota archaeon tRNA-Arg". It matches the Rfam family "tRNA". From Rfam's summary of the family: Transfer RNA (tRNA) molecules are approximately 80 nucleotides in length. Their secondary structure includes four short double-helical elements and three loops (D, anti-codon, and T loops). Lineage: Archaea; Methanobacteriati; Methanobacteriota. RNAcentral also lists the same sequence under 5 other names. The record is from RNAcentral.